GCGGGAAUAGCUCAGUUGGUAGAGCACGACCUUGCCAAGGUCGGGGGCGACCGGUUCCCGGCGAGCAACAAAUCUCGUUUCCCGCUCCA
RNAcentral lists this transfer RNA (89 nucleotides) under Alteromonas sp. Mac2. Its description in RNAcentral is "tRNA-Gly". It matches the Rfam family "tRNA". From Rfam's summary of the family: Transfer RNA (tRNA) molecules are approximately 80 nucleotides in length. Lineage: Bacteria; Pseudomonadati; Pseudomonadota; Gammaproteobacteria; Alteromonadales; Alteromonadaceae. The record is from RNAcentral.